RNAcentral lists this transfer RNA (71 nucleotides) under Minytrema melanops (spotted sucker). Its description in RNAcentral is "tRNA-Tyr". It matches the Rfam family "tRNA". From Rfam's summary of the family: Transfer RNA (tRNA) molecules are approximately 80 nucleotides in length. Their secondary structure includes four short double-helical elements and three loops (D, anti-codon, and T loops). Lineage: Eukaryota; Metazoa; Chordata; Actinopteri; Cypriniformes; Catostomidae. The record is from RNAcentral.
GGUAGGAUGGCCGAGCGUUUAGGCGGUGGGUUGUAGCCCCGAAGACAGAGGUUUGAUCCCUCUUCCUAUCA